Molecule: ribosomal RNA, 433 nt
Filed under: uncultured bacterium
Lineage: Bacteria
Description: partial 16S ribosomal RNA
Rfam family: Bacterial small subunit ribosomal RNA
Source: RNAcentral
AACGAACGCUGGCGGCAUGCCUAACACAUGCAAGUCGAACGAGACCUUCGGGUCUAGUGGCGCACGGGUGCGUAACGCGUGGGAACCUGCCCUUAGGUGCGGAAUAACUCCCCGAAAGGGGUGCUAAUACCGGAUAAUGUCUUCGGACCAAAGAUUUAUCGCCUUUGGAUGGGCCCGCGUUGGAUUAGCUAGUUGGUAGGGUAAAAGCCUACCAAGGCGACGAUCCAUAGCUGGGCUGAGAGGAUGAUCAGCCACACUGGGACUGAGACACGGCCCAGACUCCUACGGGAGGCAGCAGUGGGGAAUAUUGGACAAUGGGCGAAAGCCUGAUCCAGCAAUGCCGCGUGAGUGAUGAAGGCCUUAGGGUUGUAAAGCUCUUUUACCCGGGAUGAUAAUGACAGUACCGGGAGAAUAAGCUCCGGCUAACUCCGUG